CUCUCAUUCAAAUAAACGAAAUAAUAAGUCCAAAUAUCCUGAUAAGCACCAUAACAGACUGUACUCCUUCCCUCUCACAACAAACACUCAAAUUUAAAAAUUUACAAAAAAAAAAAAAAAAAAAAGAACCCCCAAGAGCUCUAAAAAAAAAAAAAAAAAAAAGAGAAAAAAUUGGAGAAAAGAUUAAAAAGAGAGUCCAUGGUCAAAACUGCCAUAAAACUUCCAAUUUAAGAAAAAAAAA
RNAcentral lists this unclassified non-coding RNA (241 nucleotides) under Hevea brasiliensis (rubber tree). Lineage: Eukaryota; Viridiplantae; Streptophyta; Magnoliopsida; Malpighiales; Euphorbiaceae. The record is from RNAcentral.